CAGGAUAUACCUGGGAGAGGCUGAAACCAAGGGCUCAAUAAAGCUUUCGGCUCAUGGUUAUUGCUCUGUGGCUUCCUAACUCUGGUAAGGCUGGGAAUCUUACUUGUUUCCAAGCUGUCUUCCAGAAUUGUAACCCUUCUUCUCUAGAAAAAGCUGGCAAAAUGCUUACAUUUUCAAAGCUCUUACUGGAGAGCUACAUCUGGAAAUCAACCAGUGAGACUACUAAAUUCUUGUGAUCCAGUCCUAUCUCAAGCACCAGUGAGGGGAUUUUGCUAAGCCUGGGAUAAGUCAUAAUUAAUUGAGCCAACAUUAAGCUGGAAUGCAAGGACAUCAGGAAUGUGACUCUAUUAGUGCACCCAUUGCGAAGUUGUCUCUAUUGCCAAGCCUAUGGGUAUUCCUCCAUAACCUUUGAGGGAUCUUUUGUGGCCUAUCCCUGCCCAUCUCUAAGAAAAUAUUUACCUGGGGAAGGUGUUUAUGUGGGAUUUUUUUCAUCCUUUUUUUUUUCAAGAAAAAAGAGCUAGAUACAGAGAAUGCUCUAAUGUGUGACUGAUAUCAAUAAAAGACAUGAAGUUUCAAGAAAUUGAUGUGACAAAGAUUGCUUCAAAUCCUCAUGCUCUAGUGCAUCAGUUUUCUGGAGCUCCACUGAGAAGACUUCAGAAAGUGUAUAUUUUCUACUGCAAAAACAAGUCUAUGGGUCUUCGCUAACAACAAAGCUAAACAAAGCUUGUUGAACCAGCUUUCCAGCCACUAGGGCGGUGUUCACUACAGCCAUUGCAUAGCUCUGUGCUGGCACUAGAUAGACUGGCAUGCCUACAUUUCUUUUGUCUUCUCUUUCAGAAAAAAUCAGAUGCCUUCAGAUGUUAUAUGUGAUGUUUUAUCAACUGAUAGAAGAACAACUCAUGUGCCU
RNAcentral lists this long non-coding RNA (907 nucleotides) under Homo sapiens (human). Its description in RNAcentral is "non-protein coding lnc-LRRTM4-7:1". Lineage: Eukaryota; Metazoa; Chordata; Mammalia; Primates; Hominidae. The record is from RNAcentral.